Molecule: ribosomal RNA, 393 nt
Filed under: uncultured bacterium
Lineage: Bacteria
Description: partial 16S ribosomal RNA
Rfam family: Bacterial small subunit ribosomal RNA
Source: RNAcentral
AUACGGAGGAUGCGAGCGUUAUCCGGAUUUAUUGGGUUUAAAGGGUGCGUAGGUGGUAGAUUAAGUCAGCGGUGAAAGUUUGUCGCUCAACGAUAAAAUUGCCGUUGAUACUGGUUUACUUGAGUAUAGUUGAAGUAGGCGGAAUGCGUGGUGUAGCGGUGAAAUGCAUAGAUAUCACGCAGAACUCCGAUUGCGAAGGCAGCUUACUAAGUUAUAACUGACACUGAAGCACGAAAGCGUGGGUAUCAAACAGGAUUAGAUACCCUGGUAGUCCACGCAGUAAACGAUGAUUACUAGCUGUUUGCGAUAUACAGUAAGUGACUGAGCGAAAGCAUUAAGUAAUCCACCUGGGGAGUACGUCGGCAACGAUGAAACUUAAAGGAAUUGACGGGG